AGGAUAAUAGUUUAAGUAACAACAUUUAACUUGCACUUAAAAAAUAUUGAAUAAUCAAUUUAUCUUA
RNAcentral lists this transfer RNA (67 nucleotides) under Cryptalaus larvatus. RNAcentral describes it as "tRNA-Ala". It matches the Rfam family "tRNA". From Rfam's summary of the family: Transfer RNA (tRNA) molecules are approximately 80 nucleotides in length. Their secondary structure includes four short double-helical elements and three loops (D, anti-codon, and T loops). The record is from RNAcentral. Lineage: Eukaryota; Metazoa; Arthropoda; Insecta; Coleoptera; Elateridae.